CUCUGGGAGCUGGAGUCUCCUCUGAUCGCCGUACUGCUGAGAUACACAAUCCCGCCCUCUGACCACAUGUCGUCACCCGCCGUGUUGGCUCAGAGUCUGCGACACACACACACACAGCGGACACAUUUGUGGACAACGUGCCAGCAGCAAGAGCAGACACACCCAGGAUGUGCUCUAUUAAAACAGGGAUCGUGAAUAUCCAGAGGACUGGCCUUUACUUGCUGGCGAUCGACGCUUGAACACGUGUGAUAUCAGAUUUAACCCAAUAUCGCUUUCCUUCUCAUCUCCUCUGCGCUUUAUUCUGAAGGUUUUAAUUGUGACAGUCACAGCAGGCCUCUGUCGCUCACAGUCUGUUAUCAAAGAUCAGCAAUGACUUUUAUUGUUUAAAGUGAGAACUCCGGCUUCUAUAGAGGAAGCAAUAAACAAUACACUUCAUGAAGUGAAUUACUGAUACACACAGCUUUGAGCUCA
Long non-coding RNA from Oreochromis niloticus (Nile tilapia), 471 nucleotides. RefSeq lists it as uncharacterized. The transcript has 2 exons. NCBI's taxonomy places the organism in Eukaryota, Metazoa, Chordata, Actinopteri, Cichliformes, Cichlidae. The record is from RefSeq and is a predicted model, not a curated record.